This 776-nucleotide ribosomal RNA is filed under the name uncultured Neocallimastigales. RNAcentral's name for it is "partial large subunit ribosomal RNA". It matches the Rfam family "Eukaryotic large subunit ribosomal RNA", at positions 24 to 635 of the family's 3401-position model. Lineage: Eukaryota; Fungi; Neocallimastigomycota; Neocallimastigomycetes; Neocallimastigales. The record is from RNAcentral.
UUAUGUGAUCGUCUCUCGCAUAUCAAUAAGCGGAGGAAAAGAAACUAACAAGGAUUCCCCUAGUAACGGCGAGUGAAGCGGGAAGAGCUCAAAUUUGAAAUCUUAAAGGGUUUCCCUUUACGAAUUGUAGUUUAAAGAAGUGUUUUCUGUUGAGGUUUUGGUAAAAGUUCUUUGGAAUAGGACAUCAUAGAGGGUGAGAAUCCCGUAUUUGACCUUUACUUUCAACUUUGUGAUACACUUUCAAAGAGUCGGAUUGUUUGGGAAUGCAGUCCAAAAUGGGUGGUAAAUUUCAUCUAAAGCUAAAUAUUGUCGAGAGACCGAUAGCGAACAAGUACCGUGAGGGAAAGAUGAAAAGAACUUUGAAAAGAGAGUUAAACAGUACGUGAAGUUGUCAAAAGGGAAGCGUUUGACACCAGUGUUGUUUUUCUGAAAAUCAAUUAAAGAACUGUUUAUGCUAAGCUGUUUAGACUUUAUCAGCUAAUCUGUUUAGUUUUGAGCUUUUCUUUAAUGCACUUUUCAGUUAACAAGUCAACAUCAAUUUCUUUUGCUGUAAAAAAGCUUGAGGAAGGUGGCUUGAGAUUCGUCUUAAGUGUUUAUAGCCUCUUGCCUAUGCAGUCGGAGAGAUUGAGGUCUGCAGCGUAGAUCCUUCGGGGCUAAAUGCAUUUGUGCUAAGUUAUAGCAUUUUAUAGACAACUUGUUGACUAUGAUUUGUCUUGUAGCUUACUCGCUUAUGUUAUUUUACCUACGCUUAGGAUGUUGAACGCGCACAGAGUCUC